Molecule: long non-coding RNA, 610 nt
Organism: Homo sapiens (human)
Lineage: Eukaryota; Metazoa; Chordata; Mammalia; Primates; Hominidae
Gene: CR1-AS1
Product: CR1 antisense RNA 1
Source: Ensembl
GACCAAGUAAAAAUUAAAGGGUAAAAUGGAAUGCCAUAUAAUGAUGAGGCAGUAACUGCAACAGUUAAGAACUUUUCCUCUUGAUUAUCUGGAAAUCCUAACUGAUAUACCAGCUCUUCCCGAAACAGUGACAGAAAGCUAAAGGGAACUGUGUGACUAUGGCAAUGACCGUCAAUGUUUUUGUAGACACAAUCUAAUGGCCAAUCUGGUUGGGAUGGUGACCAUCCUCUUUCUCCCUGAGCACUCCUUUCCUGGCCAGCCAGAUGAUCCAAGUUAAUGCUGGCCAACUCCAAGAUGCUGUGUAUUUGGUCAGAGAAGACCUCCUUUCCAGUGGUGGGAGACAGUUCUUUAGGAGUUAACACCUGUGUUCAAGCCUCUUAAGAGCAGGUGGCAAUAGCCUAGUUUCCUUGCUGAGAUGUGGCUAGAAAGUACUAUCGCUGUGCUGGAACUCUUAAACCAAGAGAUGUUGCUGCCAACUCACCCUGUAGUACAAGAAUAGUUGAUUCUGGAUCCAACCUGGAUGUCUGUGAUCACAUGCACCAUGCCAUUCACUGGAUCUGGAGGAGUUUUACAUGAUUUACCUGUGGGAAAGAAAAUGUUUUGGAGCCAG